Long non-coding RNA from Cyprinus carpio carpio, 625 nucleotides. NCBI's taxonomy places the organism in Eukaryota, Metazoa, Chordata, Actinopteri, Cypriniformes, Cyprinidae. The record is from Ensembl.
CCUAGCGGUUUCGUGGACACGGCUCGCGAGGGUCCGAUCGGGCCGAUUUUGGGAUAUUUGUCUCGGGGGGACCCCCUUAACCGGGCAGGAAAGUAUGGUGGCCAAACGACCUUCUUUAGGGGUCAAAGGGUCAAAAAAGGGAGCGUACGUCCACCAAACAGGUACGCGUUUAAAUUGGAGGUGGGACGUCCACCGUUCGGAGACGACAGGUCACAGGGCCCCGAGAUUUGAGAUUCUCGCAUCUCAGGGGCCCCUCUCUCGUCUACCUGAAGCACGAAGCUAUAGGACCUUGAAAAAAAAUACCCAUCUGGCAACCUGAAAUCACUCAAAAGGCUCUGAUCGUGUUAGAGUCUGAGAGGGCUGAGGGAGAGAUCUUGUGUAGGAGGCUCCAGAUUUUUCCCUCACCCUAGGGCCCCGCGCCUUCGACAGCUCGCUCGGGGAUGCCCCAGGAGCCACCGUUCCGAGUUUCGGGCCCCUGGGACGUUUCUAAAAAAAUCCCACCUGCCAUUUACUUGAAUGGUUCGGCCUAGCGGUUUCGUGGACACGGCUCGCAAGGGCCCUAGGGACCCGCGCCGUCGGCAGCUCUCUCGGAGUGGCCCCUGGAGCCACCGAGCCUAGUUUCGGG